GAGGUGCUAGCUCAGCUGGUUAGAGCAUUUGCCUUUUAAGCAAAGGGUCCCGGGUUCAAAUCCCGGGCACCUCACCA
Molecule: transfer RNA, 77 nt
Filed under: Pseudomonadota bacterium
Lineage: Bacteria; Pseudomonadati; Pseudomonadota
Description: Proteobacteria bacterium (wastewater metagenome) tRNA-Lys
Rfam family: tRNA
About the family: Transfer RNA (tRNA) molecules are approximately 80 nucleotides in length.
Source: RNAcentral